RNAcentral lists this ribosomal RNA (1488 nucleotides) under uncultured bacterium. RNAcentral describes it as "bacterial SSU rRNA". It matches the Rfam family "Bacterial small subunit ribosomal RNA". The record is from RNAcentral.
AGAGUUUGAUCAUGGCUCAGAUUGAACGCUGGCGGCAUGCCUUACACAUGCAAGUCGAACGGUAACAGGUUAAGCUGACGAGUGGCGAACGGGUGAGUAAUGUAUCGGAACGUGCCCAGUCGUGGGGGAUAACUGCUCGAAAGAGCAGCUAAUACCGCAUACGACCUGAGGGUGAAAGCGGGGGAUCGCAAGACCUCGCGCGAUUGGAGCGGCCGAUAUCAGAUUAGGUAGUUGGUGAGGUAAAGGCUCACCAAGCCGACGAUCUGUAGCUGGUCUGAGAGGACGACCAGCCACACUGGGACUGAGACACAGCCCAGACUCCUACGGGAGGCAGCAGUGGGGAAUUUUGGACAAUGGGCGCAAGCCUGAUCCAGCCAUGCCGCGUGCGGGAAGAAGGCCUUCGGGUUGUAAACCGCUUUUGUCAGGGAAGAAAAGGUUCUGGCUAAUACCUGGGACUCAUGACGGUACCUGAAGAAUAAGCACCGGCUAACUACGUGCCAGCAGCCGCGGUAAUACGUAGGGUGCAAGCGUUAAUCGGAAUUACUGGGCGUAAAGCGUGCGCAGGCGGUUAUGCAAGACAGAGGUGAAAUCCCCGGGCUCAACCUGGGAACUGCCUUUGUGACUGCAUGGCUAGAGUACGGUAGAGGGGGAUGGAAUUCCGCGUGUAGCAGUGAAAUGCGUAGAUAUGCGGAGGAACACCGAUGGCGAAGGCAAUCCCCUGGACCUGUACUGACGCUCAUGCACGAAAGCGUGGGGAGCAAACAGGAUUAGAUACCCUGGUAGUCCACGCCCUAAACGAUGUCAACUGGUUGUUGGGAGGGUUUCUUCUCAGUAACGUAGCUAACGCGUGAAGUUGACCGCCUGGGGAGUACGGCCGCAAGGUUGAAACUCAAAGGAAUUGACGGGGACCCGCACAAGCGGUGGAUGAUGUGGUUUAAUUCGAUGCAACGCGAAAAACCUUACCUACCCUUGACAUGUCUGGAAUCCUGAAGAGAUUUGGGAGUGCUCGAAAGAGAGCCAGAACACAGGUGCUGCAUGGCCGUCGUCAGCUCGUGUCGUGAGAUGUUGGGUUAAGUCCCGCAACGAGCGCAACCCUUGUCAUUAGUUGCUACGAAAGGGCACUCUAAUGGGACUGCCGGUGACAAACCGGAGGAAGGUGGGGAUGACGUCAGGUCAUCAUGGCCCUUAUGGGUAGGGCUACACACGUCAUACAAUGGCCGGGGCGGAGGGCUGCCAACCCGCGAGGGGGAGCUAAUCCCAGAAACCCGGUCGUAGUCCGGAUCGUAGUCUGCAACUCGACUGCGUGAAGUCGGAAUCGCUAGUAAUCGCGGAUCAGCUUGCCGCGGUGAAUACGUUCCCGGGUCUUGUACACACCGCCCGUCACUCCAUGGGAGCGGGUUCUGCCAGAAGUAGUUAGCCUAACCGCAAGGGGGGCGAUUACCACGGCAGGGUUCGUGACUGGGGUGAAGUCGUAACAAGGUAGCCGUA